Molecule: ribosomal RNA, 907 nt
Filed under: uncultured bacterium
Lineage: Bacteria
Description: bacterial SSU rRNA
Rfam family: Bacterial small subunit ribosomal RNA
Source: RNAcentral
UGGAACUUAGAGUUUGAUCCUGGCUCAGGACGAACGCUGGCGGCGUGCCUAAUACAUGCAAGUCGAGCGGACUUGACAGAGCUUGCUCUGUUCAAGUCAGCGGCGGACGGGUGAGUAACACGUGGGUAACCUGCCUGUAAGACUGGGAUAACUCCGGGAAACCGGGGCUAAUACCGGAUAAUAUCAAGAGCUGCAUGGCUCUUGAUUGAAAGGCGGCUUCGGCUGUCACUUACAGAUGGACCCGCGGCGCAUUAGCUAGUUGGUGAGGUAACGGCUCACCAAGGCGACGAUGCGUAGCCGACCUGAGAGGGUGAUCGGCCACACUGGGACUGAGACACGGCCCAGACUCCUACGGGAGGCAGCAGUAGGGAAUCUUCCGCAAUGGACGAAAGUCUGACGGAGCAACGCCGCGUGAGUGAAGAAGGUUUUCGGAUCGUAAAACUCUGUUGUCAGGGAAGGACAAGUACGGGAGUAACUGCCCGUACCUUGACGGUACCUGGCCAGAAAGCCACGGCUAACUACGUGCCAGCAGCCGCGGUAAUACGUAGGUGGCAAGCGUUGUCCGGAAUUAUUGGGCGUAAAGCGCGCGCAGGCGGCCUUUUAAGUCUGAUGUGAAAGCCCCCGGCUCAACCGGGGAGGGUCAUUGGAAACUGGAAGGCUUGAGUGCAGAAGAGAAGAGCGGAAUUCCACGUGUAGCGGUGAAAUGCGUAGAGAUGUGGAGGAACACCAGUGGCGAAGGCGGCUCUUUGGUCUGUAACUGACACUGAGGCGCGAAAGCGUGGGGAGCGAACAGGAUUAGAUACCCUGGUAGUCCACGCCGUAAACGAUGAGUGCUAAGUGUUGGGGGGUUUCCGCCCCUCAGUGCUGCAGCUAACGCAUUAAGCACUCCGCCUGGGGAGUACGGCCG